CAGUAGCCGCGGUAAAACGGAGGGUGCAAGUGUUACUCGAAAUCACUGGGCGUAAAGGACGCGUAGGCGGAUUAUCAAGUCUCUUGUGAUAUCUAACGGCUUAACCGUUAAACUGCUUGGGAAACUGAUAAUCUAGAGUAAGGGAGAGGCAGAUGGAUUUCUUGGUGUAGGGGUAAAAUCCGUAGAUAUCAAGAAGAAUACCUAUUGCGAAGGCGAUCUGCUGGAACUUAACUGACGCUAAUGCGUGAAAGCGUGGGGAGCAAACAGGAUUAGAUACCCCCGUAGUCCCUGUCUCUUAUAA
RNAcentral lists this ribosomal RNA (301 nucleotides) under uncultured bacterium. RNAcentral's name for it is "partial 16S ribosomal RNA". It matches the Rfam family "Bacterial small subunit ribosomal RNA", at positions 509 to 809 of the family's 1533-position model. The record is from RNAcentral.